This 76-nucleotide transfer RNA is filed under the name Desulfobacteraceae bacterium. RNAcentral describes it as "tRNA-Lys". It matches the Rfam family "tRNA". Rfam says of the family: Transfer RNA (tRNA) molecules are approximately 80 nucleotides in length. The record is from RNAcentral. Lineage: Bacteria; Pseudomonadati; Thermodesulfobacteriota; Desulfobacteria; Desulfobacterales; Desulfobacteraceae.
GGGCCUGUAGCUCAGUUGGUAGAGCAGUUGACUCUUAAUCAAUUGGUCGAAAGUUCGAGUCUUUCCAGGCCCACCA